Vidua chalybeata is the source of this 999-nucleotide long non-coding RNA. RefSeq lists it as uncharacterized. The transcript is spliced from 6 exons. NCBI's taxonomy places the organism in Eukaryota, Metazoa, Chordata, Aves, Passeriformes, Viduidae. The record is from RefSeq and is a predicted model, not a curated record.
UGAAUAGCUCUUCCAAAGUGGCUUUGGAGUCAGGAGGACAGGCAGAACACUCCAGGAAAUGAGUCUGAAACAAGUAAAAAGAAGUCAGUUGUGACCUGAGAGGCUGAACAGAUUGCAGAAGGCACUGCCAGGGAAACCAGUGGCCAAAGGCACAAAUAUGCUGAAGACUGAAACCAAGAAUGAGAGACAGGCGUGACCCUUCCUCCAGCCCCGUCUGUCAUCUGGGCACGCUCGUGUCACGUGUCACUACAAACUGUUGGGACAUCUGGAACGGGUUCAUGAAAGUUCCUCUGUCUGGUUCAGUGCCUGGUCACAGUGAGUUUUCCUGGCACAAGUGAGUGGAAAGAGCACUUUGGCAUGGAGAGGAAAUGAGCAGCGGAGGGUGAAAGGCACUUCCCAUUUGUGUCCUUAUCUCCCAGGCUCCAGCCGUCUUCAAAGGCUUCCCAGCUACUGUGUCCUGCAAGUUCAAAACCUGCAGCCCACUGGGACUGGAAAUGUGUGGAGGAGCACAAGGAUUGGAGUUGAAUGACAGUCUUUUCCUUCUGACUUGCAAAUCUGCUAGGUCGCUGCUGCUUUUCUCAGAGAUGAUCCUUGGCUCACUAUCAAGUGAAUUGCUAAUGAAUUAGUUACACUCACAUUUUUAAAGAAGAGUCUGGGGACACCCAAGGAAUUCUUCCUCAGCCAGAAGCAGAUCCUCAUUGAAAUGGACUCCAGGAAGUUGGAUUAGAUGAUCGGGGCAUUUUGGUGCCCUUAAACACAAGGAAAGAUGAGGGUAGAGCAGAGGAAGAUAAGAAGAAGAGUAGGCAAGCAGGAAAAUUCCCUGUGACCAAAGAAACUGAGAGACUGGCAAGAGCGGAGGAGCUGUGAUUGGGAAUGACCUCUGGGGCCAUAAACAGCUGGAUGGAAAGCUUUAACUGUUUGUCAGUCUGAAAUCUGCAGCUCCGUGGCAUUGUACCAGGCCAGUUAUCUCGAGCAGGACUCCUGCAGGCAGCCAUGCUU